RNAcentral lists this ribosomal RNA (116 nucleotides) under Holosporales bacterium. Lineage: Bacteria; Pseudomonadati; Pseudomonadota; Alphaproteobacteria; Holosporales. The record is from RNAcentral.
CCUGGCGGCAACAGCGGGAAGCCCAACGCUCCAUCCCAUUCCGAACUGGAAAGCGAAAGUUCCCAGCGGCGAUGAUACUGUGCCUUAAGGUACGGGAAAGUAGUUCACUGCCAGGC